Motacilla alba alba is the source of this 271-nucleotide long non-coding RNA. RefSeq lists it as uncharacterized. The transcript has 3 exons. NCBI's taxonomy places the organism in Eukaryota, Metazoa, Chordata, Aves, Passeriformes, Motacillidae. The record is from RefSeq and is a predicted model, not a curated record.
AUAUGCAAGGCCGGACGUCCUCGUGUUGGCAGCGCUGCAGGGUCCUUGCGCAGCUCUCUCCUGGUAGAUUUUCAGGAGUCCCGGGAGAUGAGGCCAAGAUCCAGCAGCAGAAGCCAUGAGAAGACGUUGGAACAUGAAGAUGUGACUGGCUACAGUAUGGCCAAGAGUCUUCCCCCUACACGUCCCUCUUCACUCCUUCCCACCAAGCCCUUGCCUCCCAUCCGGGAGAGCUCUUCCUUCAUCAAGCCAGGCAAGAUGGAUGAUGGAGAGA